AUCUUGCGCAAUGGGCGAAAGCCUGACGCAGCCAUGCCGCGUGAAUGAUGAAGGUCUUAGGAUUGUAAAAUUCUUUCACCGGGGAAGAUAAUGACGGUACCCGGAGAAGAAGCCCCGGCUAACUUCGUGCCAGCAGCCGCGGUAAUACGAAGGGGGCUAGCGUUGCUCGGAAUUACUGGGCGUAAAGGGCGCGUAGGCGGACAGUUUAGUCAGAGGUAAAAGCCCAGGGCUCAACCUUGGAACUGCCUUUGAUACUGGCUGUCUUGAGUUCGGGAGAGGUGAGUGGAAUGCCGAGUGUAGAGGUGAAAUUCGUAGAUAUUCGGCGGAACACCAGUGGCGAAGGCGACUCGCUGGACAAGUAUUGACGCUGAGGUGCGAAAGCGUGGGGAGCAAACAGG
Molecule: ribosomal RNA, 398 nt
Filed under: uncultured bacterium
Lineage: Bacteria
Description: bacterial SSU rRNA
Rfam family: Bacterial small subunit ribosomal RNA
Source: RNAcentral